AUGAGUCACAGUAAACAGACUCUGUUCUCACAGGAAGAGCAGACAGAAACAAUCUACUCUGCCUUCAGGCAAAACCCUGAAUCUUUCAAGAGCUUUAGAAGAAGAAUGGAGACCUCAGAGGAACACUAUUACGACUACCCCGAGUAUGAAAACAACAGCUCCAACUUCAGCUACGAUGACUAUCAGACCAUCUGUGAGAAGGGCGACGUGCGCUCCUUCGCGAGGAUCUUCCUCCCAGCUGUUUUUGUGUUAUCUCUAGUGAUUGGUUUAGCAGGCAACGCUCUGGUUGUGGCGGUGUAUGCAUACUGCAAGCAACUGAAAACGAUGACUGACACGUUUAUACUUCACCUGGCUGUGGCCGACCUUUUGCUGCUCCUAACGUUGCCCUUCUGGGCUGCCGAUGCCGUCCACGGGUGGGAGCUCGGGGUCACCGUCUGUAAACUCGUAUCUGCCCUGUACACCAUCAACUUCACCUGUAGCAUGAUGCUGCUGGCCCACAUCAGCAUGGAUCAGUACUUGGCUUUGACACCAGGAGCCAGAAACACAGGCAUUAUGCGUGCUUUUCAAAAGAAGCAUUGUGUAAAACUCUGUUUGGUUGUCUGGACCAUUGCGUUUUUUCUUGGCGUCCCUGAUUUGGUGUUUUCAACAGUCAGAGAGCUUCCUCAUAAAAAAAGCUGCAUCGCAAUGUAUCAAUCGGACAUGGCGCUCAGGGCUAAAGCUAGUUUGGAAGUGGUGGAGGUCGUAAUAGGCUUCUUGCUACCUUUAUUAGUGAUGUUGUUCUGCUACACUUGUGUAGGCCGAACCCUACUGAAGCUCCCUCAGGAGAGGAGGUGGAGGAAGUGGAGGUCCAUCCGUGUGCUGCUGGCGAUGGUGGGCGUCUUUGUGGUCACGCAGCUGCCCUAUAAUGUGGUCAAGUUCUGCCGGGCUAUGGACGUCAUGUACACGUUUGUGACUCACUGCGGGGUUAGUAAAGAGCUGGACAAGGCUACUCAGGUCACAGAGAGCCUGGCAUUGACACACUGCUGUCUAAAUCCUGUUCUGUACACUUUCGUCGGCUCCUCCUUCAGACAGCAUGUAUUGAAGUGUGCCAAAGACUUUGGAGAAAGGGGAAGGAGGUUGGCACGUAUGAGAGAGCAACAAGAAGUGGAUAUCUCGUUGAAUUCUCAUUCACAGUCCCAAGAGACCAGCACUUUUUCCAUCUGAGCAAAAUGAAGAGCAUAUGUUUACUAGCCUGUGGAGCUAUGCACAAUCUGCUCCUUUGCAAAAUAUGUACACAUUUACAGGGAAAAAUUAGUGAAAACAUAAGGCAGUAUUUUGACCAGAACAGUAAAAUUCUAACUGAAAUAAAAGCUAAGAUGCAAGAUGUCGAUAGUUGGGUUUAUACGAAACAAAUGGGAAAAGAACAAGUCCGCGGAGUGAUACGAGAGAUACAGAUGCAAGAUAUCUCUUGUGCAUAAUAUUUAACAAGAUUUUCUUAACUCUACAUUUACAAAAUUAUGAAUAAAGAAGAGUUUCUACUCAUAGGCUAAUUAUGACUUUGUGUGUAACGUUAUGACUUUGUGACGUUCAUGUUCGUUUAAUAAAUACAACCUUUCCCACAUGACUUGAAAACACCUUGAUAAACAUCAUUGCCAAAGAGAACAGUGAAUAUAGGCUAAUGGUAUGUUCAAGUCCUCCUGAAGUUCGUAUUUACGAGUUGGCAUGUCCGUCAGGUGCCUUCAAGUUACUUUGGUCAGAUGGCGAUGCAUCUUUUCUAUUGUCAGGGCCGUCCUUAGAGGGGUACAACUGGUGCGGUCGCACCAGGCCCCCGCGCUUGAGGGGGCCCCACGGCGAACGGCCAACCACUCCCACCCCCCACAGAACGCGAUUGCGAAUGGACCGAGGGGUGCCCCGCUCCCUACCUCGCACCAGGCCCCGCGUCAGCUACGGACGGCCCUGUCUAUUGUAAUAAUUUUUUUUUUUAAAUAAUAAUAAUAAUAAAUAAAC
Molecule: long non-coding RNA, 1986 nt
Organism: Sinocyclocheilus grahami
Lineage: Eukaryota; Metazoa; Chordata; Actinopteri; Cypriniformes; Cyprinidae
Product: atypical chemokine receptor 4-like
Source: Ensembl